GAUGAACGCUGGCGGCGUGCCUAAUACAUGCAAGUCGAGCGAACAGAUGAGGAUCUUACUCCUCUGACGUUAGCGGCGGACGGGUGAGUAACACGUGGAUAACCUACCUAUAAGACUGGUAUAACUUCGGGAAACCGGAGCUAAUACCGGAUAAUAUAUUGAACCGCAUGGUUCAAUAGUGAAAGACGGUUUUGCUGUCACUUAUAGAUGGAUCUGCGCCGCAUGGGAUAGUUGUUAGGGUAACGGCCUACCAAGGCAACGAGGCGUAGCCGACCUGAGAGGGGGUGAGGCCACCCUGGAGCUGAACCGCGGACCAGACUCCUACGGGAGGCAGCAGUCGGGAAUCUUCCGCAGUGGGCGGAAGCCUGACGGAGCAACGCCGAGUGAGUGAUGAAGGUCUUCGGAUCGUAAAACUCUGUUAUUAGGGAAGAACAAAUGUGUAAGUAACUAUGCACGUAUUGACGGUACCUAAUCAGAAAGCAACGGCUAACUACGUG
Molecule: ribosomal RNA, 497 nt
Filed under: uncultured bacterium
Lineage: Bacteria
Description: partial 16S ribosomal RNA
Rfam family: Bacterial small subunit ribosomal RNA
Source: RNAcentral